UAGACCUGGCGGCAUGCUAACCAUGCUGUCGAACGGUAACGGGCAGAAGCUUGCUUCUGCGCCGACGAGUGGCGGACGGGUGAGUAACGCGUGGGGAUCUGCCCUUUGGCGGAGGACAACUCGGGGAAACCCGAGCUAAUACUGCAUAGGUUCUACGGAACAAAGCUGGGGAUCUUUGGACCUGGCACCAAAGGAUGAGCCCGCGUUGGAUUAGUUUGUUGGUGGGGUAAUGGCUCACCAAGGCGACGAUCCAUAGCUGGUCUGAGAGGAUGAUCAGCCACACUGGGACUGAGACACGGCCCAGACUCCUACGGGAGGCAGCAGUGGGGAAUAUUGGACAAUGGGCGCAAGCCUGAUCCAGCAAUGCCGCGUGUGUGAAGAAGGCCUGCGGGCUGUAAAGCACUUUUAUGAAGGAAGAACGCUACUCGGUUAAGAGCUAGGUGGCUUGACGGUACUUCAGGAAUAAGCACCGGCUAACUCAGUGCCAGCAGCCGCGGUAAUACUGAGGGUGCGAGCGUUAAUCGGAAUUACUGGAGCGUAAAGCGUGCGUAAGCGGCUUUGUCAGUCGGAUGUG
This 574-nucleotide ribosomal RNA is filed under the name uncultured bacterium. Its description in RNAcentral is "bacterial SSU rRNA". It matches the Rfam family "Bacterial small subunit ribosomal RNA", at positions 30 to 596 of the family's 1533-position model. The record is from RNAcentral.